UACGUAGGUGGCGAGCGUUGUCCGGAAUCACUGGGCGUAAAGGGCGCGUAGGCGGCGAUACAAGUCGCAUGUGAAAUACCAGGGCUCAACCCUGGGGUGUCAUGCGAAACUGUAUUGCUUGAGUGCAGUAGAGGAAAGCGGAAUUCCUGGUGUAGCGGUAAAAUGCGUAGAGAUCAGGAGGAACACCGGUGGCGAAGGCGGCUUUCUGGGCUGCAACUGACGCUGAGGCGCGAAAGCGUGGGGAGCAAACAGG
Molecule: ribosomal RNA, 253 nt
Filed under: uncultured prokaryote
Description: partial 16S ribosomal RNA
Rfam family: Bacterial small subunit ribosomal RNA
Source: RNAcentral